UUGGAAUCAACGGUGGUGGAGAUGUAGCCAUCGGACAGCCCCAACUCCCCUGUUCGGUGAGGGGAGGACGGGGGCUGUGGAUGUGGAGGACAGCCGUGUGACGAUAUGCGCGGAAAGAAACAAGAAGACCCGUUAGAUUUUAAAAAAUGGACGGAGCCGGCGGGACGUCACGAUGAGCCGUCGCCACAAAGCUCAAUACGUCGCUCACGAACGCGCUCAUUUGGCUCCCAGUCCGGAGGGACCGCUGGUUACCAGGAGCUCAUCCAAGCCCAGUGCAACCCACCUUUCUGCACCUGAGGAAGAAACAAAAAUGACACGCAAAAGCACCAGAAGUGAAGAUGAGGGUUUCCUCCAACUUCCAGGUGUGUUGGAGGUGGUGCGAGUGUGUCUGGGCUGCUGGCAGAGAGCUGUGUUUGCAGGCCUGAGGGGUUGUCUGUUAUCUUUGGUUAUCUAGCUGUAUGAGUGAUGUACAUUUUUCAUAAAGCUAGAUAACCGAAAGUAACAAGAAUCCCAUUACACGCCUGCACGGUGGAAGAAAACUCAAUGAAAAGCCCAAGAAGACCCAGGAAUGAGCCCGGACAAUGGACGCUGCCAAACGAUGACGUGAAGGUUUCUGAUCAGUCUGAAGCUAAUCGUCAGAUCUUUGCCUCUUUGCUCUUCUGGACUCUGAUUGCAGUGAUGUUCGUCUCACCCAGGACUAACUGUGAAUAUACAGGAGGAAACACACCGAUUCUGUGAGAGCAGCCGUCUCCAACGACUGGACAGUGGACAGAGUCAAAACUGUCAGGUCUUAAAACUGGUAAUGGCUGCAAACGUGACUCUUUUCAGCUGCUACUGCAGCAUAUCUUUAUUUGAAUGAAGACAGAAACAAACCAGAAGACAGACAAACAUUUGGCCAUCAUGAGGCUGAAACAGAGAGUAAAGGACGGCAAAAGUGAUCUGUGUGUGUGUGUGUGUGUGUUGUAGAGUGAGUUCUUGGGAGCUGCUCUGCACAGCUGUUCAGGAAACAUCUGUACUACAUUUUAAUGUAGGUCAGAGCUUAGAUCAUUCUCUUUCGAACACACACACACACACAAACUCAGUCAUCUGAGAUUCAAACUAAUUUUAAAAAGGUUAGAUGAUGAUAAAAAUAGUUGCUGUAGUGUUCUGAAUGUUUGGUAUCAUUGAUUCGUUCCUCAAUGUGUUAUCCUUCAGAUAAGAAUCUUAUCUUAGAUCUUAAAUCAUAGAUUUUACAUUUAAUUUUCUUCGUUAUCUUUUGACUUAUAUUUGUUUGUAAUUAUUUCAGUAAGCAAUUAAAUGUGUCUAUUUGUCUCAUUUAAAACUUUUGAUGUUUUAUUCUAAUUAUUGACAAUCUGCGUGACUGGAUUACUUGAAACAUGUGAAAUUAUUUUUCUUUUGCAAUGACAAAAAUGUUUUAUGGACUUGAUCCAUCAACUAUGAAUUGUAUAACAAUCGUUUAGAUGAUUUUACUAUUUUUUAGAAACAUUUGUUUUUCACAUUUCAUUCUCUCAUAUUAGAGUGUUUUGUAUAUUUAUAUCUUAGGGGUGUAUAACCUUAACAUGCUAAACAAUUUGGUGGUAAAAUCAACUCUUAUGGAGGUCUUUCCAAAGCUUUGUUACAGCAAGUAUUUUUAUUUUCAUUUUUAGUAUACACAUUUAAUCAAUUGUGUCAUUAUCCCUGCAGGGAGCGUUUUGUGCAAUCAACACUACAAUAUGUUUGAUUUUUUUCUCUAUGCAAAAGAAAUGAGUGGGAUGUUUUUAAGUUUGCACUAUUUGUAUAAGUAUUUGCACAAUAAUUGUAUUGUUAAGUUUGCACAUUAGCAGGGAAAUAUACGGGUUAAGUUUGUGUGAGUGAAUUGAGAUGUUAUACUAAUAUGCACUAUAUGAGCACAGGUGCAAUGUGUGUUGAAGUGUGUGUUUUUGGAGGUUUGAUGAGAAACAGUGAAUACAGCCUUUUUCUGUUGACUUAGUUGGUAAUUGUCAGGAAAAGUGGAUUUAUUCCACAUUUCAUUUGUUAAAUCAGUUCCUCUUUUAAUGUAAUAUGAAUAUGUGAAUGAAUGGGAUUUUGAAUGGGAUACUAUUUAGAGGGAAUAACUGAUUAUAUUAUAAUGCACUAUGAAUGACUGUUUUAGGAGUCUUCUAAGAAGGAUUUGCACACGAGCUGCUGUUAAUGAGCUCCAUGUCUGUACUAUGCAACGGUUUCACCUGCAGUUUGUGUCAAUCAAUAAAAGUAUUCAUGUUUAC
Molecule: long non-coding RNA, 2243 nt
Organism: Anarrhichthys ocellatus (wolf-eel)
Lineage: Eukaryota; Metazoa; Chordata; Actinopteri; Perciformes; Anarhichadidae
Exons: 4
Source: RefSeq, a predicted model, not a curated record